RNAcentral lists this ribosomal RNA (253 nucleotides) under uncultured bacterium. RNAcentral describes it as "partial 16S ribosomal RNA". It matches the Rfam family "Bacterial small subunit ribosomal RNA", at positions 524 to 776 of the family's 1533-position model. The record is from RNAcentral.
UACGGAGUGUGCAAGCGUUAUUCGGAAUCACUGGGCUUAAAGAGUCCGUAGGCGGCAUGUUAGGUGAGGUGUGAAAUCCCCCGGCUUAACCGAGGAAUUGCGCUUCAAACCGGCGUGCUAGAGGAAGAUAGAGGUGGGCGGAACUGAUGGUGGAGCGGUGAAAUGCGUUGAUAUCAUCAGGAACACCGGAGGCGAAGGCGGCCCACUGGGUCUUUUCUGACGCUGAGGGACGAAAGCUAGGGGAGCGAACGGG